AUUAAAAGGAAAUAUGUGAUAUUUGAAGACAUGUACAGGAGGAAGUGACUGAGUUUAGUAGGGGAAUCUGGAAGACUUCAAAGAGGAGGUGUCUUCUGGUUUAAAACAUACUUAUGAACUUUAUAAUUUGAUCAAUGAACCUUCCUAUUAUUAAGAUGUGUCUGAUGAGUCCCCUAAAGCCCACCUUAGCCUACUCCACCUGUGAUCCACUCCUGGAAAUAGUCACACUGCCUAAUUAACUGGAAGGCUUUUCUCUUUCCCAUAUUCUGAAAAGAAAUAUUCCUCGGCUUAAAGACAGGAACAAGAUGGUCUUGAGUAAUAAAAAAAAUAAAUGUUCUACUUACAUACCA
This 350-nucleotide long non-coding RNA is filed under the name Callithrix jacchus (white-tufted-ear marmoset). RNAcentral's name for it is "lncRNA (ENSCJAG00000069893.1)". Lineage: Eukaryota; Metazoa; Chordata; Mammalia; Primates; Cebidae. The record is from RNAcentral.